CAACAAAAAAGAAGAGUAUCAGCACACUGCCCGCUUCCGGCGCCUUCACACUCGUGGGAACGUUCUAAUCUCUAACCAGCACUGUAAUCCUGCUGAAUCCAAGGUUUUAACCAGUAUCUCCUAUCAAGUCUACCGGAAGGAAAACCAAGGUGAUCUGGGCCACUCUCCCUGGCUUUACACCUAAUUCAAAGCAGCUUUUAACUACCGUGGAUUUAGUUCUGGCUGUAUCUCUGAACAGACAGGAUAUCAAGAUGAGCAACAAUUCAAAUUGCAGGUGCUCAGAUGAAACGCAGCUGCAGUUUCCCCUCUGGAUCAUGGAUAAAAUUCUUCCAUUGGAUACACAUUUUAAAGGAAUUAAGCCUCGCUGCAAGGAGCACUCCCGCGUUUGCCAUCUCCAGAGAAGUCAGGGCAGCAGCUGCGCUCCGGCCGGAGGAGCCGCGCAGAAGCGCCCGUCGGGGCUCCCGCAGAGCCAUGUCCCGCAAGCCCCGCGGAAGAGCGGCGGGGCCGUGCCCGGUUUUCAAGCACGGGGGAGAUGAUUUUCUCUUCAAUUGCUCCUGAUCUCAGCCCUGAGGCUGGACCACUCCAGGUGGGAUGAAGGACAUCCCUUAUUUGCGGCACUGUGGCAGCAGGACAGCUUGGUGAAGACCUGAAAGAAAAAGAGCCUGGCUGUAGAAUUGGACCCUUAAAACCAAUUAACUUCUUUGAAGCACGGUCACCAUGCAGUGAGUGAUGAUGCCAGCCCGUCACUGCUCCUCUUGUCCAGCCACCAGCAGCUCAAUCCCUUUCCCGUGGAGCCUGUGCAGUGCCAGGGCUCGGCCUUCAUUGCUG
This is a long non-coding RNA of Pyrgilauda ruficollis (rufous-necked snowfinch), 828 nucleotides long. RefSeq lists it as uncharacterized. NCBI's taxonomy places the organism in Eukaryota, Metazoa, Chordata, Aves, Passeriformes, Passeridae. The record is from RefSeq and is a predicted model, not a curated record. The transcript has 6 exons.